RNAcentral lists this ribosomal RNA (440 nucleotides) under uncultured bacterium. Its description in RNAcentral is "partial 16S ribosomal RNA". It matches the Rfam family "Bacterial small subunit ribosomal RNA", at positions 338 to 795 of the family's 1533-position model. The record is from RNAcentral.
CCUACGGGAUGCAGCAGUGGGGAAUAUUGCACAAUGGGGGCAACCCUGAUGCAGCGACGCCGCGUGAGUGAAGAAGUAUCUCGGUAUGUAAAGCUCUAUCAGCAGGGAAGAAAAUGCCGGUACCUGACUAAGAAGCCCCGGCUAACUACGUGCCAGCAGCCGCGGUAAUACGUAGGGGGCAAGCGUUAUCCGGAUUUACGUGGUGUACAGGGAGCGUAGACGGCGCUGCAAGUCCGGAGGGAAAGCCCAUGGCGUAACCAUGGUACUGCUCUGGAAACUGUGGAGCUUGAGUGCGGGAGGGGCAGGCGGAAGUCCUAGUGUAGCGGUGAAAUGAGGAGAUAUUAGGAGGAACACCGGCGGCGAAGGCGGCCUGCUGGACCGUAACUGACGUUGAGGCUCGAACGCGUGGGGAGCAAACAGGAUUAGAGACCCUUGUAGUC